CAGUAGCCACGGUAAAACGUAGGUGGCAAGCGUUAUCCGGAAUUAUUGGGCGUAAAGGGCUCGCAGGCGGUUUCUUAAGUCUGAUGUGAAAGCCCCCGGCUCAACCGGGGAGGGUCAUUGGAAACUGGGAAACUUGAGUGCAGAAGAGGAGAGUGGAAUUCCACGUGUAGCGGUGAAAUGCGUAGAGAUGUGGAGGAACACUAGUGGCGAAGGCGACUCUCUGGUCUGUAACUGACGCUGAGGAGCGAAAGCGUGGGGAGCGAACAGGAUUAGAUACCCCAGUAGUCCCUGUCUCUUAUAC
Molecule: ribosomal RNA, 301 nt
Filed under: uncultured bacterium
Lineage: Bacteria
Description: partial 16S ribosomal RNA
Rfam family: Bacterial small subunit ribosomal RNA
Source: RNAcentral